GACGAAGGUGGCAAGCGUUACUCGGAUUUACUAGGUGUAAAGCGUGGGCAGGUGGUCCGAUAAGUCUGUUGUGAAAGCUCCUGGCUUAACUGGGAGAGGCCAAUGGAUACUGUCGGGCUUGAAUAUGGGAGAGGUGACUGGAAUUCCUGGUGUAGCGGUGAAAUGCGUAGAUAUCAGGAGGAACAUCGAUGGCGAAAGCAGGUCACUGGACCAUUAUUGACACUCAUCCACGAAAGCUGGGGGAUCAAACAGG
RNAcentral lists this ribosomal RNA (253 nucleotides) under uncultured bacterium. Its description in RNAcentral is "partial 16S ribosomal RNA". It matches the Rfam family "Bacterial small subunit ribosomal RNA", at positions 524 to 776 of the family's 1533-position model. The record is from RNAcentral.